AUGACUCCAAACAAGUCAACCGGCUUCACACCUUUCUUCCUCGUCUACGGUGCUGAAGCCGUCAUCCCGACAGACAUAGAAUUCGACUCCCCGCGAGUCACCAUGUACACCGAGGAGGAAGCAGAAGAAGCACGUCAAGACGGUGUCGAUCUGCUGGAAGAGGGCCGGUUGUUGGCACUCAGCCGGUCCAGCAUCUACCAGCAGAGCCUGCGCCGAUACUACAAUAGGAAGGUCAGGCCGAGAUCUUUCCAAGAGGGCGACCUUGUGCUCCGACUGAUCCAGCGAACAGCCGUCCAGCACAAGCUGUCGGCACCUUGGGAAGGCCCCUUCAUUAUUAGCAAAGUGCUGGGCAACGACUCCUACUACCUGAUCGACGCUCAGAAGCCCCGAGCAUGCAAGAGAGACGACUCCAGCAAAGAGACGGAACGCCCAUGGAAUGCAAAUCUUCUCCGAAGAUUUUAUAGUUGA
Molecule: ribosomal RNA, 468 nt
Filed under: Triticum aestivum (bread wheat)
Lineage: Eukaryota; Viridiplantae; Streptophyta; Magnoliopsida; Poales; Poaceae
Description: partial small subunit ribosomal RNA
Source: RNAcentral